This 520-nucleotide ribosomal RNA is filed under the name bacterium btn 2b-3.6. RNAcentral describes it as "bacterial SSU rRNA". It matches the Rfam family "Bacterial small subunit ribosomal RNA", at positions 335 to 846 of the family's 1533-position model. The record is from RNAcentral.
ACUCCUACGGGAGGCAGCAGUAGGGAAUCUUCCGCAAUGGGCGAAAGCCUGACGGAGCAACGCCGCGUGAGUGAUGAAGGUCUUAGGAUCGUAAAACUCUGUUGUUAGGGAAGAACAAAUUUGUUAGUAACUGAACAAGUCUUGACGGUACCUAACCAGAAAGCCACGGCUAACUACGUGCCAGCAGCCGCGGUAAUACGUAGGUGGCAAGCGUUAUCCGGAAUUAUUGGGCGUAAAGCGCGCGUAGGCGGUUUCUUAAGUCUGAUGUGAAAGUCCACGGCUCAACCGUGGAAGGUCAUUGGAAACUGGGGAACUUGAGUGCAGAAGAGGAGAGUGGAAUUCCAUGUGUAGCGGUGAAAUGCGCAGAGAUAUGGAGGAACACCAGUGGCGAAGGCGGCUCUCUGGUCUGUAACUGACGCUGAUGUGCGAAAGCGUGGGGAUCAAACAGGAUUAGAUACCCUGGUAGUCCACGCCGUAAACGAUGAGUGCUAAGUGUUAGGGGGUUUCCGCCCCUUAGUGC